Molecule: ribosomal RNA, 215 nt
Filed under: uncultured bacterium
Lineage: Bacteria
Description: partial 16S ribosomal RNA
Rfam family: Bacterial small subunit ribosomal RNA
Source: RNAcentral
UGGGAACCUUCCCUAUGGUUCGGAAUAGCUCAGGGAAACUUGGGGUAAUACCGGAUAAGCCCUUCGGGGAAAGAUUUAUCGCCAUUGGAUGGGCCCGCGUCGGAUUAGCUAGUUGGUGAGGUAACGGCUCACCAAGGCAACGAUCCGUAGCUGGUCUGAGAGGAUGAUCAGCUACACUGGGACUGAGACACGGCCCAGACUCCUACGGGAGGCAG